AGUCACUGACAUUAGAUACCCCGGUAGUCCAGGGUGUAAACGCUGCAGACUUGGUGUUGGAAGCCCUUUGGGGGCAUUCAGUGCCGGAGAGAAGUUGUUAAGUCUGCUACUUGGGGAGUACGUCCGCAAGGAUGAAACUUAAAGGAAUUGGCGGGGGAGCACCGCAACGGGAGGAGCGUGCGGUUUAAUUGGAUUCAACACCGUAAACUCACCAGGGAAGACUGUUACAUGAAGGCCGAGAUGAAGACUCUGCCAGAUUUUCAG
RNAcentral lists this ribosomal RNA (264 nucleotides) under uncultured archaeon. RNAcentral describes it as "partial 16S ribosomal RNA". It matches the Rfam family "Archaeal small subunit ribosomal RNA", at positions 718 to 982 of the family's 1478-position model. The record is from RNAcentral.